RNAcentral lists this ribosomal RNA (254 nucleotides) under uncultured bacterium. RNAcentral describes it as "partial 16S ribosomal RNA". It matches the Rfam family "Bacterial small subunit ribosomal RNA", at positions 524 to 776 of the family's 1533-position model. The record is from RNAcentral.
UACGUAGGGUGCGAGCGUUAAUCGGAAUUACUGGGCGUAAAGGGCGCGUAGGCGGCGCUGUAAGUCACUUGUGAAAUCUCCGGGCUUAACUCGGAACGGUCAAGUGAUACUGCAGUGCUAGAGUGCAGAAAGGGCAAUCGGAAUUCUUGGUGUAGCGGUGAAAUGCGUAGAUAUCAAGAGGAACACCUGAGGCGAAGGCGGGUUGCUAGGCUGACACUGACGCUGACAGCGCGAAAGCCAGGGGAGCAAACGGG